GACGAACGCUGGCGGCGUGCUUAACACAUGCAAGUCGAACGGAAAGGCCUCAGCUUGCUGGGGUCCUCGAGUGGCGAACGGGUGAGUAACACGUGGGUGAUCUGCCUUGCACUCUGGGAUAAGCUUGGGAAACUGGGUCUAAUACCGGAUAUGAACUGCCUUUAGUGUGGUGGUUGGAAAGUUUUUUCGGUGCAAGAUGAGCUCGCGGCCUAUCAGCUUGUUGGUGGGGUAAUGGCCUACCAAGGCGUCGACGGGUAGCCGGCCUGAGAGGGUGUACGGCCACAUUGGGACUGAGAUACGGCCCAGACUCCUACGGGAGGCAGCAGUGGGGAAUAUUGCACAAUGGGCGGAAGCCUGAUGCAGCGACGCCGCGUGGGGGAUGACGGCCUUCGGGUUGUAAACGCCUUUCGACAGGGACGAAGCUUUUUGUGACGGUACCUGUAUAAGAAGCACCGGCUAACUACGUG
This 467-nucleotide ribosomal RNA is filed under the name uncultured bacterium. Its description in RNAcentral is "partial 16S ribosomal RNA". It matches the Rfam family "Bacterial small subunit ribosomal RNA", at positions 28 to 507 of the family's 1533-position model. The record is from RNAcentral.